CAGGAGGAUUUGUUAUUGGUGGAAAAAUUCCGGGAGGGUUUAUUAUUGGUGGAAGAAUGCCAGGUGGCCUUGUGAUUGGUGGUAGGAUGCCAGGUGGCCUAGUGAUUGGAGGGAUUACAACAGGAGGAUUAACUAUAGGUGGUAAAACUCCAGGUGGCGGUCUAGUCACUGGGGGUGAAAUGCCAGGUGGACGAGUGAUCGGAGGCGAAACGCCAGGUGGACGAGUGAUCGGAGGUGAUACGACAGGUGGAGGAAAGACGAUAGGUGGCAAAACCUUAGGAGGUGGCGGUUUGGUGGUUGGUGGAUGAGGACGGGGAGUCGAUGGUGGAGGGUGGGGUCUACCGGGAGCCUUAGGUGGAUGAGGGUGAUGAUGACCUGGAGAUUUUGGAGGAUGUGGAGGACGCGGAGUAGUGCCAGGUGGACUAGGUCGUUGGUAAGGUGGAUAAGGAGGAGUACAUGGGCAUUGACCAGAUGAAGCAUAAGCUGGUGGUAACAAACAUAUUGACAUGAAAAUCAU
Molecule: long non-coding RNA, 517 nt
Filed under: Capsicum annuum
Lineage: Eukaryota; Viridiplantae; Streptophyta; Magnoliopsida; Solanales; Solanaceae
Description: long non-coding RNA (CANN_LNC000135)
Source: RNAcentral